This 253-nucleotide ribosomal RNA is filed under the name uncultured bacterium. RNAcentral describes it as "partial 16S ribosomal RNA". It matches the Rfam family "Bacterial small subunit ribosomal RNA", at positions 524 to 776 of the family's 1533-position model. The record is from RNAcentral.
UACGUAGGGGGCAAGCGUUGUCCGGAUUUAUUGGGCGUAAAGAGCGUGUAGGCGGCUAGAUAGGUCCGUUGUGAAAACUCGAGGCUCAACCUCGAGACGUCGAUGGAAACCAUCUGGCUAGAGUCCGGAAGAGGAGAGUGGAAUUCCUGGUGUAGCGGUGAAAUGCGCAGAUAUCAGGAAGAACACCAACGGCGAAGGCAGCUCGCUAGGACGGUACUGACGCUGAGACGCGAAAGCGUGGGGAGCGAACAGG